Molecule: ribosomal RNA, 453 nt
Filed under: Triticum aestivum (bread wheat)
Lineage: Eukaryota; Viridiplantae; Streptophyta; Magnoliopsida; Poales; Poaceae
Description: partial small subunit ribosomal RNA
Source: RNAcentral
AUGAAUUAUGAGUUUAAUAGAUCCUAUUUAGCAGAAAGACGUAUAUUCCUUGCUCAUUAUCAGACAAUCACUUAUUCCCAAACCUCGUGUGGGACUAAUUGUUUUCAUUUACCAUCUCAUGGAAAACCCUUUUCGUUCCGCUUAGCCCUAUCGGGUAUUUUAGUGAUAGGUUCUGUAGGAACUGGACAAUCCUAUUUGGUCAAAUACCUAACAAAAAAUUACGAUUUUCCGUUCAUUAAGGUACAAGGGCUUCUUAUUCCACAAGAACGAAAGCACCUUUUCAUUCUUUCAUAUACUGGGGGUUUUUACCUUGUAAAGACAAUGUUCCAUACUAAAGGAUUUGGGUCCAGAACCACGAGUUCUAGUGCACUAGAUCUUGUAGCACUUAGCAACGAAGCCCUAUCCAUUAGUAUUCCACAUAAGAAAUCCAUUCUAGAAAAAAAAUACAAUUAG